RNAcentral lists this unclassified non-coding RNA (262 nucleotides) under plant metagenome. Its description in RNAcentral is "partial contains small subunit ribosomal RNA, internal transcribed spacer 1, and 5.8S ribosomal RNA". The record is from RNAcentral.
UUUCCGUAGGGAACCUGCGGAAGGAUCAUUAUUGUAUAACCGAGGUGCGAGGGCUGUCGCUGACCCGAAAGGUCGUGCACGCCCGAGUGCCCUCACACACAUCCAUCUCACCCCUAUGUGCACCACCGCGUGGGUCCCCCUUUGGCUUGUUCGGAGGGGGGCUUACGUUUUCACACAAACUUUGUAUGCAGUGUAGAAUGUAUUUUUUGUUUUUGCGAUCACGCAAUCAAUACAACUUUCAACAACGGAUCUCUUGGCUCUC